RNAcentral lists this ribosomal RNA (243 nucleotides) under uncultured bacterium. RNAcentral's name for it is "partial 16S ribosomal RNA". It matches the Rfam family "Bacterial small subunit ribosomal RNA", at positions 95 to 334 of the family's 1533-position model. The record is from RNAcentral.
CCGGCGCACGGUGAGUAACACGUAUGCAAUCCACCUGUAACAGGGGGAUAACCCGGAGAAAUCCGGACUAAUACCCCAUAAUAUGGGCGCUCCGCAUGGAGAGCCCAUUAAAGAAAAGCAAUUUUGGUUACAGACGAGCAUGCGCUCCAUUAGCCAGUUGGCGGGGUAACGGCCCACCAAAGCGACGAUGGAUAGGGGUUCUGAGAGGAAGGUCCCCCACAUUGGAACUGAGACACGGUCCAA